AUGUAUAAGUAUAAACGAUUCAAUCGUGAAACCGCGAACGGCUCAUUAUAACAGCUAUAAUCUACUUGAUCUUGACGAAUCCUACAUGGAUAACUGUGGUAAUUCUAGAGCUAAUACAUGCACUAAAGCUCCAACCUUGUCUCUUCACGGGGAUGGGGGAAGAGUGCAUUUAUUGGAAGAAAACCAUUUGUGGCGCUCUAACAGGUGUCGCAAUUUGUAGACUCAGAAUAACUAAGCUGAUCGCAUGGCCUUGUGCCGGCGACGUGUCUUUCGAGUGUCUGCCUUAUCAACUUUCGAUGGUAGUGUAUGUGACUACCAUGGAGGUGACGGGUAACGGAGGAUAAGGGUUCGACUCCGGAGAAGGGGCCUGAGAAAUGGCCACUACGUCUAAGGAUGGCAGCAGGCGCGCAAAUUACCCACUCUCGGUACGAGGAGGUAGUGACGAAAAAUAACGACGGUGUCCCCUUCGGGGGUCACGAUCGGAAUGGGUACAAUUUAAACCCCUUAACGAAAACUAUGAGAGGGCAAGUCUGGUGCCAGCAGCCGCGGUAAUUCCAGCUCUCAAAAUGCAUAGAUACAUUGCUGCGGUUAAAAAGCUCGUAGUUGGAUCUGUGUUGGGGACUCGGUCCUCUCUUCGGAGAGGUACUGAUGUUCCUCGACAAUGUGAGUCGGUUCACGUUGCGUUCGUGGUCUUAGGUGAUCGCGUUCCGGCGGGGGUCGGCGAGUUUACUUUGAACAAAUCAGAGUGCUCCAAACAGGCGUUUCGCUUGAAUGUUCGUGCAUGGAAUAAUAGAAGAGGAUUUCGGUUCUAUUUUAUUGGUUUUGAGGCCGAGAUAAUGGUUAAUAGAGACAAACGGGGGCAUUCGUACUUCUGCGUGAGAGGUGAAAUUCUUGGACCACAGAAAGACGCACUACAGCGAAAGCAUUUGGCAAGAAUG
This 938-nucleotide ribosomal RNA is filed under the name Irantylenchus vicinus. RNAcentral's name for it is "bacterial SSU rRNA". It matches the Rfam family "Eukaryotic small subunit ribosomal RNA", at positions 55 to 966 of the family's 1831-position model. Lineage: Eukaryota; Metazoa; Nematoda; Chromadorea; Rhabditida; Tylenchidae. The record is from RNAcentral.